GACGAACGCUGGCGGCGUGCUUAACACAUGCAAGUCGAGCGGUAAGGCCUCUUCGGGGGUACACGAGCGGCGAACGGGUGAGUAACACGUGGGUGACCUGCCCUCAGCUCUGGGAUAAGCCUGGGAAACUGGGUCUAAUACCGGAUAUGACCUUUCCUCGCAUGGGGUUUGGUGGAAAGUUUUUUCGGCUGGGGAUGGGCCCGCGGCCUAUCAGCUUGUUGGUGGGGUGAUGGCCUACCAAGGCGACGACGGGUAGCCGGCCUGAGAGGGCGACCGGCCACACUGGGACUGAGACACGGCCCAGACUCCUACGGGAGGCAGCAGUGGGGAAUAGUGCGCAAUGGGCGGAAGCCUGACGCAGCGACGCCGCGUGGGGGAUGACGGCCUUCGGGUUGGAAACCUCUUUCGACCCCGACGAAUUUGGACGGUAGGGGUAGAAGAAGCACCGGCCAACUACGUG
This 460-nucleotide ribosomal RNA is filed under the name uncultured bacterium. RNAcentral describes it as "partial 16S ribosomal RNA". It matches the Rfam family "Bacterial small subunit ribosomal RNA", at positions 28 to 507 of the family's 1533-position model. The record is from RNAcentral.